GUAAGGCUUUUGCGGUUUGGGAUGGGCCUGCGUCCUAUCAGGUAGUUGGUGAGGUAAGUGCUCACCAAGCCUAUGACGGGUAGCUGGUCUGAGAGGAUGGUCAGCCAUACUGGGACUGCUACACGGUCCAAACUCCUACGGGAGGCAGCAACUAGGAAUUGUGCGCAAUGGACGAAAGUCUGACGCCGCGACAUCGCGUGGAGGAUGAAGGUCUUCGGAUUGUAAACUCCUUUUCUUACCGAACAAGUUCUGAGUGUAGGUAAGGAAUAAGUGCCUGCUAACCACGUGCCAGAAGCAUCGGUAAUACGUGGGGCACGAGCGUUAUCCGGAUUUACUGGGCGUAAAGAGAAGCGUAGGCGGCUCGAUAAGUUUGGUGUUGAAUCUUCCGGCUCAACCGGAAACAAGCACCGAAAACUAUCGAGAUUGAGUCGAGUAGGGAAGAGGGGAAUUCCUGGUGGAGCGGUUAAAUGCGUAGAUAUCAGGGGGAAUACCAAUGGCGAAGGCACCUCUUUGGACUCGUACUGACGCUGAGGCUCGAAAGCGUGGGUAGCACAGCGGAUUAGAUACCCGUGUAUUCCACGCCGUAAACGAUCCCUGUUAGAUGUAUGUUUUGUCUGUUCAUUUUUCCUUCGGGAACGGUAGCGGGCACGAUGUGUGUCGUAAGUUAACGCGUUAAACAGGGCGCCUGGGAAGUACGGCCGCAAUGCUAAAACCCAAAGGAAUUGACGGGGACCCGCACAAGCAGUGGAGCGCCUGGUUUAAUUCGAUGGUCAGCGAAGAACCUCACCUAGGCUUGAACUGUAGCUGCACACUCCCAGAAACGGGAGAAUCCUUCGAGGGUGCUACAGAGGUGCUGCAUGGCUGUCGUCAGCUCGUGUCGUGAGAUGUAGGGUUAAGUCCCACAACGAGCGCAACCCCUAUUCAGUGUUAUAAUUACUCUGAAGACUGCCCUGUCCAAACGGGGAGGAAGGAGGGGACGACGUCCAGUCAUCAUGUCCCUUAUGUCUAGGGCUACACAGACGCUACAAUGGCCGGUACAAUGGGUUGCCAAACCGCGAGGUGGAGCCGAUCCCAUCAAAGCCGGUCCCAGUUCGGAUUGCAGUCUGCAACUCGACUGCAUGAAGUUGGAAUUG
This 1133-nucleotide ribosomal RNA is filed under the name uncultured organism. RNAcentral describes it as "bacterial SSU rRNA". It matches the Rfam family "Bacterial small subunit ribosomal RNA", at positions 201 to 1334 of the family's 1533-position model. The record is from RNAcentral.